RNAcentral lists this transfer RNA (75 nucleotides) under Bacteroidetes bacterium MED-G17. RNAcentral's name for it is "tRNA-His(gtg)". It matches the Rfam family "tRNA". Rfam says of the family: Transfer RNA (tRNA) molecules are approximately 80 nucleotides in length. Their secondary structure includes four short double-helical elements and three loops (D, anti-codon, and T loops). Lineage: Bacteria; Pseudomonadati; Bacteroidota. The record is from RNAcentral.
GUGGCUGUAGCUCAGUCGGUUAGAGUAGUGGUUUGUGGUGCCAUUGGUCGCCGGUUCGAAUCCGGUCAGCCACCC